Molecule: non-coding RNA, 405 nt
Organism: Drosophila melanogaster (fruit fly)
Lineage: Eukaryota; Metazoa; Arthropoda; Insecta; Diptera; Drosophilidae
Source: Ensembl
GGGGCGCCAAAAACCUGCUGUUGGGAAAAAAUUUGCUUUUGCUUCGACAUUUUUGCUCAGAAAUAUUGCAAGAUAUGUAAACAGGAACAGAGACAGAGACGGUUGCCUGGUACCAUGACACAUUUACCAACAUUUUCGAUAUUGUUGUUCGUUUUGUUGCUGUUGUAUCUGGCGGAUGACAAAUCUGGCAAGGCAUUCGGGCCACCUGUUGUUGUUGUUAUUACUGUUGCACGGAAAAGCAAACAAACAACACCGCUGGGGCUCUGCCUCGUGCCUUGUGUCUCAUGUCUCGUUUUGCCAGCGCAGCCAAAAUAAAAUAAAAGUUGGCUAAAAAAAACUGCAAUAGACUAGAUUUUGUAAACAACAAGUUGAAAUGCCCUACCCGGGAAAUCGAAGUAUUUUAAU